CAGGAGGCGGUGGGUCUCGGUAUACAGGAGGCGGUGGGUCUCGGUAUACAGGAUGGGGUGGGUCUCGGUAUACAGGAGGCGGUGAGUCUCGGGAUACAGGAGGCGGUGGGUCUCGGUAUACAGGAUGGGGUGGGUCUCGGUAUACAGGAGGCGGUGGGUCUCGGUAUACAGGAGGAGGUGGCUUUCUCGGACAUAGUCAAAUUUGAAAACUUUCUGAAUAUCAAGAUUGUGGUUUUGUACCACAGUAGAGCUAAUGCAGCUCUCUUGAAGUUCCAAAACACCCCCCAACCGCACCCUCAGAUUCUGUACUUUUAUGUGCAAAACGAACAUUACUACGCCGUUACAAACAUCACUGCUUUUUUAGGCGGCCCAUAUGUGUGUCCAUCCUGCCAUACCGGCUACACCCGAAAGGGGGGGCACUCGUGCCGUUAUAACUGUUCAGUAUGUCAGGAUGCAGUGCCCAAUGCAACCCUUAAACUUGACACCCUGUGAGGAUUGCCACCGCACAUGUUGUUUGACCUACUGUUACGAAAGACACAAAAUUGAAACAUGGCACCCCAAGGCAUGUAAAUCUGUAAGCUGUUGUGACAUUAACAAGUAAUACUUUUUCUCUCUAAAGGUUCGGGGUCAAAAUUGACACCCUUUUCAAUACCUCACCUUGUGUGGAUAACGGCACUGAGCCUUUUUCUAAAAGGUGUUAUGAGUUGGAGAACACAUUGGGAGUGAUCUUAGACCAUUCCUCCAUACAGAAUCCUUACAAAUCUUCCCAGUUUGUUUUCUUACCAUGAACAUAUUACAAACUAACAAAACUGUGUAUUAGUCGCCCUCUAGUGGUAGGUGGUUAUAAUGUCUCCGGUCUCCUCUCUCUUCUCUCCGUCUCCCCCUCUACAGUCUCCACACUCCUCUCUCUCUCUUCUCUCCGUCUCCCCCUCUACAGUCUCCACACUCCUCUCUCUCUCACAAACAUAGACUAUGACCUGCCGAAUGAGCAAUCCUGAUUAAAGAUUCCCACAAUACCCCCCUCCCCUCUGUCUCUCUCUCACUCUCUCUCACUCUCUCUCUCUCUCUCUCUCUCUCUCUCUCUGUGUAGGCCUGCCAGGCUGUUAGGUUAAUGGACCAUGGAAACCCACUGAGAAUCUGCCACUGCCAUACAGAGAGAGCUACAAAUGAACAUGAUUAAAAUACAUGAAACCGUGUUCAACACAACUCCAUGUAUGUUGUUCUCUCUGUUUACAGGACUAGAAGUCUGGUUAAAACACAUCAAUACAGAAUGAAUUAUAUGUCUUCAAACCUUAGACUCAUGUCCAUCAACAUGCUGGCUUCACCCCAACC
Long non-coding RNA from Oncorhynchus tshawytscha (Chinook salmon), 1332 nucleotides. Lineage: Eukaryota; Metazoa; Chordata; Actinopteri; Salmoniformes; Salmonidae. The record is from Ensembl.